AAUCUUCCACAAUGGGCGAAAGCCUGAUGGAGCACCGCCGCGUGACGGCAGAAGGUCUUCGGAUCGUAACACUCUGUUGUAAGGGAAGAACACGUACAGUAAUAACUGGCUGUACCAUGACGGUACCUUAUUAGAAAUCCACGGCUAACUACCUCCCAGCAGCCGCGGUAAUACGUAGGUGGCAAGCGUUGUCCGGAAUUAUUGGGCGUAAAGCGCGCGCAGGCGGUCCUUUAAGUCUGAUGUGAAAGCCCACGGCUCAACCGUGGAGGGUCAUUGGAAACUGGGGGACUUGAGUGCAGAAGAGGAAAGUGGAAUUCCAAGUGUAGCGGUGAAAUGCGUAGAGAUUUGGAGGAACACCAGUGGCGAAGGCGACUUUCUGGUCUGUAACUGACGCUGAGGCGCGAAAGCGUGGGGAGCAAACA
This 422-nucleotide ribosomal RNA is filed under the name uncultured bacterium. RNAcentral describes it as "partial 16S ribosomal RNA". It matches the Rfam family "Bacterial small subunit ribosomal RNA", at positions 360 to 774 of the family's 1533-position model. The record is from RNAcentral.